GACGGGGGGGCAAGCGUUGUUCGGAAUUAUUGGGCGUAAAGCGCGUGUAGGCGGCUUGCAAGUCGGGUGUGAAAGCCCUCAGCUCAACUGAGGAAGUGCGCCCGAAACUGGCAGAGCUUGAGUGCCGGAGAGGGUGGCGGAAGUUCCCCAAGUAGAGGUGAAAUUCGUAGAUAUGGGGAGGAACACCGGUGGCGAAGGCGGCCGCCUGG
RNAcentral lists this ribosomal RNA (209 nucleotides) under uncultured bacterium. RNAcentral describes it as "partial 16S ribosomal RNA". It matches the Rfam family "Bacterial small subunit ribosomal RNA", at positions 524 to 732 of the family's 1533-position model. The record is from RNAcentral.